AUUGAACGCUGGCGGCAUGCCUUACACAUGCAAGUCGAACGGCAGCACGGGUGCUUGCACCUGGUGGCGAGUGGCGAACGGGUGAGUAAUACAUCGGAACAUGUCCUGUAGUGGGGGAUAGCCCGGCGAAAGCCGGAUUAAUACCGCAUACGAUCUACGGAUGAAAGCGGGGGACCUUCGGGCCUCGCGCUAUAGGGUUGGCCGAUGGCUGAUUAGCUAGUUGGUGGGGUAAAGGCCUACCAAGGCGACGAUCAGUAGCUGGUCUGAGAGGACGACCAGCCACACUGGGACUGAGACACGGCCCAGACUCCUACGGGAGGCAGCAGUGGGGAAUUUUGGACAAUGGGCGAAAGCCUGAUCCAGCAAUGCCGCGUGUGUGAAGAAGGCCUUCGGGUUGUAAAGCACUUUUGUCCGGAAAGAAAUCCUUGGCCCUAAUACGGUCGGGGGAUGACGGUACCGGAAGAAUAAACACCGGCUAACUACGUG
This 486-nucleotide ribosomal RNA is filed under the name uncultured bacterium. RNAcentral describes it as "partial 16S ribosomal RNA". It matches the Rfam family "Bacterial small subunit ribosomal RNA", at positions 30 to 507 of the family's 1533-position model. The record is from RNAcentral.